This is a non-coding RNA of Acanthosepion pharaonis, 113 nucleotides long. Lineage: Eukaryota; Metazoa; Mollusca; Cephalopoda; Sepiida; Sepiidae. The record is from the annotation of a GenBank genome assembly.
UUACGGCCGUAUCACGUUGAGACACUGAUUCCCGUUCGAUCACCGAAGUUAAGCAACGUCGAGCCUAGUCAGUACCUAGAUGGAUGACUGCUUGAGAAUACCAAGUACUGUAA